UUUCCGUAGGUGAACCCGCGGAAGGAUCAUUAUUGGAUUUUGAAACUUCAGGCUGCUGCUGGCUCCCCUCGGAGGGCAUGUGCACGCUUGUUGUCCAUUAUUUCUCCCACUGUGCACAAAUUGUAGACCUUUCAGUAGGCCUAUGUUGUUUUUCACAAUCUCUGAAUGUAAUAGAAUGGUUUUGAAUCUUGGGAAAUACAAUGCAACUUUCAGCAACGGAUCUCUUGGCUCUC
Molecule: unclassified non-coding RNA, 233 nt
Filed under: plant metagenome
Description: partial contains small subunit ribosomal RNA, internal transcribed spacer 1, and 5.8S ribosomal RNA
Source: RNAcentral